Long non-coding RNA from Myotis lucifugus (little brown bat), 228 nucleotides. RefSeq lists it as uncharacterized. The transcript has 2 exons. The record is from RefSeq and is a predicted model, not a curated record. NCBI's taxonomy places the organism in Eukaryota, Metazoa, Chordata, Mammalia, Chiroptera, Vespertilionidae.
CGGGUGAUCACAGCCAGUCAACUAAGCCUGGUCGCCAUCCAGCCUGGAGCCAAGCACUCCGAGGAUCCAACGGCGAGCUAGAACACCACCUGAACUGCUGCGCAACAGGCUUUAAAAAUGGGUCCUGACCAGCCAACGGUGCUCGCCUGUCGAGACAGCCACAAAGGCGCGUCCUUUUCUCAGUCCCGCAAGCGACGCCGUUCCACGCUCCUCUCUCUGCCAGACGAC